Molecule: ribosomal RNA, 108 nt
Filed under: Acanthosepion pharaonis
Lineage: Eukaryota; Metazoa; Mollusca; Cephalopoda; Sepiida; Sepiidae
Source: RNAcentral
UACGGCCUCAUCACGUUGAAACACCGGUUCCCGUACAAUCAUCGAAGUUAAGUAACGUGGAGCCUGGUCAGUACCUAGAUGGGUGACCGCUUGGAAAUACCAGGUACA